GGGAAUGUGGCUUAGUGGUACAGCGCUUGCCUAACAUGCAUGAAGCCCUGGGUUUCAUUCCUC
RNAcentral lists this transfer RNA (63 nucleotides) under Dipodomys ordii (Ord's kangaroo rat). It matches the Rfam family "tRNA". Rfam says of the family: Transfer RNA (tRNA) molecules are approximately 80 nucleotides in length. Their secondary structure includes four short double-helical elements and three loops (D, anti-codon, and T loops). The record is from Rfam by way of RNAcentral. Lineage: Eukaryota; Metazoa; Chordata; Mammalia; Rodentia; Heteromyidae.